GAGAAGAGAGUCUCUUCCGAGAUGACAUCUACACUUUUGCGAGCACCGAUUAAUAAUACGGCCCGUUGCGGUUGUUGCUAGUUUUUCUCAUUUUUCUCAUUGUCAUUUUCCUCUAGAAACUUUAUUCCUUUUCUCAUUCUCUCGCCGACGUUCACCUUGGCCAAACCUUUUCUCCUUUUUUCGUUUUUCCUCUUUUUGUUGAGCAUGUAGUUCCGAAAUUGAAUUUCCGCGGCUUUAAAAUGGCACCAAAGAUGUCGAUUUAUCAUCUGAACUACUUCCUCUCUUGUUCCCUUUAUUCGGUUUCCUCGGAAGCGCUGGCUCCCGGAGCUUUGAGCAUUCUUUGAGGCACAAUGCAAAAAUAGUCUAAUCAGAGAGCCAAAGAACCCAUCUGAAAGAAAAAUGAAGAAACGGAUGGAAAUCGUAAAAGAGUAGUAAACUGGCAUGAUGGAAAGAGAGAAGAGCAUGAAUAAUUUCCGAGCUCAGUUCCGAACACCUUCCAUUUCUUAUUUCCUGCCAUACUGAAGGCGUGAGAACCUAUUCAUCAAGUUUUGAUUUUAAUUU
This is a non-coding RNA of Caenorhabditis elegans, 561 nucleotides long. The record is from Ensembl. NCBI's taxonomy places the organism in Eukaryota, Metazoa, Nematoda, Chromadorea, Rhabditida, Rhabditidae.